CUGAGUUCAAUGCCUCACAAUUGCUGGCUCUCCCUCUCCCUAGGGCACAGAAAUGCUCUUCAGACCAUGCUCCUACUGCCAGGGGAUGGAGAAGGCAUGGUGUCAGCAAUUCAAGACUGUUUUUCCUACCUCUUCAGUGUCUCUUUUGGCGAAAUGAAGUGAAAAUCAGGAACAAGAUGUCUCCAGAGUUAAAUACAUUAAUUAAAUGCAAUUUCAAUGGAUGUCCCAAUGUUUUAAAUUGAAUAACAUGACUUUAAAGAAGAUAUGGGAAACUUCAACUCCCAGAAAAAUGAAGUAGAUACAUACUUCUCUAUUCCUUCCACUAAGUACAACUGAAAACCGUGACACUGUAUAUAAAACAAACAUAAGAAGACUCUGAAAGGUAAGAAUGGGUUUUCUUUUGCCUCCUUUAUUCCAGACUUGUAACUGAAGAAGCCAUCAACCAAGAAAUUUCCAACAGACCCAGAUGGAAAAAGUCCCAGUGAAAGCCUGUUCUUUAGGCAAAGGGGCCAGAAAAGAGCAAGAUAGCAGGACAAGAUCUCUGCCAUCAUGUGAGAGAGAGCCUGAGUUAGCCUGCUGGAUGGUCAAAGAUGAGUGGUGCAGCUAAGUGAAAGCCUGCUGACUUGUAGACAUAUGAGUAAGGCCAUGCUUGAUCACCUGGCUGCCAGCUGGCCUGCCAACUAAUUGCAGGUACUUGAAAGAGUCCAGCAGAGAUCAGCCACCCCAGGUCAAAUAAACACCCAGCCCCCUCCCUGAGAAUCAUGAACUAAAUAAAUGUCUUAAGUACUAAGUUUUGGGUGUUUGCUACAUAGCAAAAGCUAAUUGAUACUGUUCCCAAGGAGUGGAAAACUUCUGUAACAAAAAACAAAAAAUUCUGGCAUUGGUUUUGGGAUUGGGCAAUGGGUAGAGGCUGGAAAAAUGGCAAGGAAGCUGCCAUAGCAACCUAGAAAAAUGGCAACCCAUGCUAUAAAAUAGGGCAAUUGGUCAAUAAGUUUUGAAGUGGUUUGUUAUGCAGCAAUAGCCUACUGAUACACCACGUGAAUUAUAGUAAGGAAUAGCUAAGGCAAAACAAAACAUUGGAUGAGUAGCAUAGUUCUUUCUAAAGAACCACUAAGGCUUGCUCAGGAAUAUGUACUAAUUCAGGUGGCAUCUGUUAACUAUCACUGAGCAUAAUAUUGGAGGAUAAAUCUGCUUUGCUUAUUGCCACCCCCGUAGCUUAGAAGCUACUCCUAAAACAGCAAGGAUGUCACUGUAGCAGUGGGCAAGGA
Pan troglodytes (chimpanzee) is the source of this 1268-nucleotide long non-coding RNA. RefSeq lists it as uncharacterized. The record is from RefSeq and is a predicted model, not a curated record. The transcript has 3 exons. NCBI's taxonomy places the organism in Eukaryota, Metazoa, Chordata, Mammalia, Primates, Hominidae.